GAUGAACGCCCUUUAGAGGGCCUAACACAUGNAAGNCGAACGGAAUUCUCAUGAAGCCUAGCGAUUGUAAAUUUAGUGGCGGACGGGUGAGUAACGCGUGGGUAACCUGCCUUGUACUGGGGGACAACAGUUGGAAACGACUGCUAAUACCGCAUAAGCGCACAGCUUCGCAUGAAGCAGUGUGAAAAACUCCGGUGGUACAAGAUGGACCCGCGUCUGAUUAGCUGGUUGGUGAGGUAACGGCCCACCAAGGCGACGAUCAGUAGCCGGCCUGAGAGGGUGAACGGCCACAUUGGGACUGAGACACGGCCCAAACUCCUACGGGAGGCAGCAGUGGGGAAUAUUGCACAAUGGGGGAAACCCUGAUGCAGCAACGCCGCGUGAGUGAAGAAGUAUUUCGGUAUGUAAAGCUCUAUCAGCAGGAAAGAAAAUGACGGUACCUGACUAAGAAGCCCCGGCUAACUACGUGCCAGCAGCCGCGGUAAUACGUAGGGGGCAAGCGUUAUCCGGAUUUACUGGGUGUAAAGGGAGCGUAGACGGUUUUGCAAGUCUGAAGUGAAAGCCCGGGGCUUAACCCCGGGACUGCUUUGGAAACUGUAGGACUAGAGUGCAGGAGAGGUAAGUGGAAUUCCUAGUGUAGCGGUGAAAUGCGUAGAUAUUAGGAGGAACACCAGUGGCGAANGCGGCUUACUGGACUG
This 698-nucleotide ribosomal RNA is filed under the name uncultured bacterium. Its description in RNAcentral is "bacterial SSU rRNA". It matches the Rfam family "Bacterial small subunit ribosomal RNA", at positions 28 to 736 of the family's 1533-position model. The record is from RNAcentral.